UACGUAGGGUGCAAGCGUUAAUCGGAAUUACUGGGCGUAAAGCGUGCGCAGGCGGUUAUGCAAGACAGAUGUGAAAUCCCCGGGCUUAACCUGGGAACCGCAUUUGUGACUGCAUAGCUGGAGUACGGCAGAGGGGGAUGGAAUUCCGCGUGUAGCAGUGAAAUGCGUAGAUAUUGGGAGGAACACCAGUGGCGAAGGCGGCUCACUGGACCGGUUCUGACGCUGAGGCGCGAAAGCGUGGGGAGGCAAACAGG
Molecule: ribosomal RNA, 254 nt
Filed under: uncultured bacterium
Lineage: Bacteria
Description: partial 16S ribosomal RNA
Rfam family: Bacterial small subunit ribosomal RNA
Source: RNAcentral